GGUUACCCCUCAGUAACGGCGAGUGAAGCGGUAACAGCUCAAAUUUGAAAUCUGCCGCAAGGCCGAGUUGUAAUUUGUAGAAGAUGCUUUGGGUAUGGCCCCGGUCUAAGUUCGUUGGAACACGACGUCAUAGAGGGUGAGAAUCCCGUAUGUGACUGGGUGCUUUUGCCUAUGUAAAGCUCUUUCGACGAGUCGAGUUGUUUGGGAAUGCAGCUCAAAAUGGGUGGUAUAUUUCAUCUAAAGCUAAAUAUUGGCCAGAGACCGAUAGCGCACAAGUAGAGUGAUCGAAAGAUGAAAAGCACUUUGGAAAGAGAGUUAAACAGUACGUGAAAUUGUUGAAAGGGAAGCGCUUGCAACCAGACUUGCACGCUGUUGAUCAUCCAGGCUUCUGUUUGGUGCACUCGGCAGCGUUCAGGCCAGCAUCGGUUUUGGUGGUGGGAUAAAGGCCUUGGGAAUGUAGCUUCUUUCGGGGAGUGUUAUAGCCCUCGGUGCAAUGCCGCCUACCGGACCGAGGACCGCGCUUCGGCUAGGAUGCUGGCGUAAUGGUUGUAAGCGACCCGUCUUGAAACACGGACCAAGGAGUCUAACAUCUAUGCGAGUGUUUGGGUGUCAAACCCAUACGCGUAAUUAACGUGAACGGAGGUGAGAACCCUUAAGGUGCAUCAUCGACCGAUCCUGAUGUCUUCGGAUGGAUUUGAGUAAGAGCAUAGCUGUUGGGACCCGAAAGAUGGUGAACUAUGCCUGAAUAGGUGAAGCCAGAGGAAACUCUGGUGGAGGCUCCCAGCGGUCUGACGUGCAAUCGAUCGCCAAAUUUGGGUAUAGGGGCGAAAAACUAAUCGAACCUCUA
This 847-nucleotide ribosomal RNA is filed under the name Margaritispora aquatica. RNAcentral describes it as "eukaryotic LSU rRNA". It matches the Rfam family "Eukaryotic large subunit ribosomal RNA", at positions 73 to 946 of the family's 3401-position model. The record is from RNAcentral. Lineage: Eukaryota; Fungi; Ascomycota; Leotiomycetes; Helotiales; Discinellaceae.